Molecule: unclassified non-coding RNA, 201 nt
Filed under: Hevea brasiliensis (rubber tree)
Lineage: Eukaryota; Viridiplantae; Streptophyta; Magnoliopsida; Malpighiales; Euphorbiaceae
Source: RNAcentral
GUAAACUAGGAUGUUUUAAUUAUCCUCUCCUAUUACUAGUUUAAGGCAGUAUUGAGUGUGUUUGUAAUUUGCUUCCCUGAUUUUAAAUAUCUUUCUGCAAACUUGUGCUAGCAUAAGCUUUUAUUCUUAUGCUAUGUCAAUAAAUGUUUUGACGAUAGAAUAAGCACAUUUGGAUGCCUCCGUUAGAUUUGGGAGAGCAGA